Molecule: ribosomal RNA, 497 nt
Filed under: uncultured bacterium
Lineage: Bacteria
Description: partial 16S ribosomal RNA
Rfam family: Bacterial small subunit ribosomal RNA
Source: RNAcentral
GAUGAACGCUGGCGGCGUGCCUAAUACAUGCAAGUCGAGCGAACAGACGAUGCUUUCGCUCCACUGACGUUAGCGACGGACGGGUGAGUAACACGUGGAUAACCUUCCUAUAAGACUGGGACAAGUUCGGGAAAGCGGAGCUACUACCGGAUAAUAUAUUGAACGGCAUGGUUGAAUAGUGAUAGCCGGUUUUGCUGUGCUUUAUAGAUGGCUCCGCGCCGCUUGAGCUAGUUGGUAAGGUAACGGCUUACCGAGGCAGCGAUGCGUAGCCGACCUGGGAGGGGGAACGCCGACACUGAGACUGGACGGCGGUCCAGACACCGACAGGAGGCAGCAGUAGGGAAUGGUGCGCGAUGGGCGAAAGCCUGACGGAGCGGCGCCGGGUGAGUGAUGAAGGUCUGCGGAUCGGAAGACUCUGUUAUGAGGGAAGAACAAAUGUGUAAGGAACGAUGCACGUUUUGACGGUACCUAGUCAGGAAGCCACGGCUAACUACGUG